Molecule: unclassified non-coding RNA, 148 nt
Organism: Macaca fascicularis (crab-eating macaque)
Lineage: Eukaryota; Metazoa; Chordata; Mammalia; Primates; Cercopithecidae
Rfam family: Metazoan signal recognition particle RNA
About the family: The signal recognition particle (SRP) is a universally conserved ribonucleoprotein.
Source: Ensembl
GCUGGGUGUGGUGGUGCACACCUGUAAUCCCGGCUACUCAGGAGGCUGAGGCGGGAGAAUCACUUGAACCCAGGAGAUGGAGGCUGCAGUGAGCUGAGAUCACGCCACUGCACUCCAGCCUGGGUGACAGAGCUAGACUCUGUCUCUA